UGCUCUUAACAGCACCGUCAGGAAAAAGAAUUGAGUAUCACGGUGGUCCACUCCUACCUGAUGAAGCAAAUGCAUAUUAAGUUUCUAUGUCUCUUGGAGUUGUAAGCUAAGAGGAUUAGUAGUCAAGAAGGACUUCGGUCAACUAUGAAUAAUAGUCAUUCAAUGGAAAUGUUGUUCACGAGAUGUGACCUUGAGGUAUAAGUGUUUACAUUUGGUAUGCAAGUUGUGAAGUUGAAAGGAUUAUCAAGAUAUUUUCCUAUUUCUCUCAAAGGAUCUGAGCCUCUUUCGAAUCUCGAGGACGAGAUUCAUUUUUAAGGGGGGUAGA
RNAcentral lists this long non-coding RNA (325 nucleotides) under Sorghum bicolor (sorghum). Its description in RNAcentral is "long non-coding RNA (SBIC_LNC010237)". Lineage: Eukaryota; Viridiplantae; Streptophyta; Magnoliopsida; Poales; Poaceae. The record is from RNAcentral.